This is a long non-coding RNA of Zophobas morio, 325 nucleotides long. RefSeq lists it as uncharacterized. NCBI's taxonomy places the organism in Eukaryota, Metazoa, Arthropoda, Insecta, Coleoptera, Tenebrionidae. The record is from RefSeq and is a predicted model, not a curated record. The transcript has 4 exons.
AUGGUAAAACUUAUUACCAAAAUUAUUGCUAAUAGCAGUCAAAUAAUAACUAAAGCAUUUAUUGAUGCUUACAAACAAGCACGGAAUAAACCAAAAGUUAACUCUUCUAACAGCAGUAAUGUUGAAUCUGUUGCCACUGAAGCAAAAAAAUGGAUUUUGGGGCGAAGCGUUAGUGUACCCUUAAAAGAAGCCAGACAAAUAUUAAAUGUUAGUGAAAACGCUUCCAAAGAACUCAUUGAAAAAAAUUUUAUGCAUUUAUAUGAAGUUAAUGAAAAAUCUCAUGGAGGAUCUUUUUAUCUUCAAUCAAAAGUUGUUAGAGCUAAGG